This 125-nucleotide small RNA is filed under the name Marmota monax (woodchuck). Lineage: Eukaryota; Metazoa; Chordata; Mammalia; Rodentia; Sciuridae. The record is from RNAcentral.
GCUGGGCAUGGUGGUGCAUGCCUGUAAUCCCAGCAGCUUGGGAGGCUGAGACAGAAGGAUUCAGAAUUCAAAGUCAGCUUCAGCAACGGUGAUGUGCUAAGCAAUUCUGUGAGACCCUGUCUCUA